Molecule: ribosomal RNA, 465 nt
Filed under: uncultured bacterium
Lineage: Bacteria
Description: partial 16S ribosomal RNA
Rfam family: Bacterial small subunit ribosomal RNA
Source: RNAcentral
GACGAACGCUGGCGGCGUGCUUAACACAUGCAAGUCGAACGGAAAGGCCCUGCUUGCAGGGUACUCGAGUGGCGAACGGGUGAGUAACACGUGGGUGAUCUGCCCUGCACUUCGGGAUAAGCCUGGGAAACUGGGUCUAAUACCGGAUAGGAGCCAUUUUUAGUGUGAUGGUUGGAAUGUUUUUUCGGUGUAGGAUGAGCUCGCGGCCUAUCAGCUUGUUGGUGGGGUAAUGGCCUACCAAGGCGGCGACGGGUAGCCGGCCUGAGAGGGUGGACGGCCACAUUGGGACUGAGAUACGGCCCAGACUCCUACGGGAGGCAGCGGUGGGGAAUAUUGCACAAUGGGCGCAAGCCUGAUGCAGCGACGCCGCGUGGGGGAUGACGGCCUUCGGGUUGUAAACUCCUUUCGCUAGGGACGAAGCUUUUUGUGACGGUACCUAGAUAAGAAGCACCGGCUAACUACGUG